Molecule: ribosomal RNA, 720 nt
Filed under: uncultured bacterium
Lineage: Bacteria
Description: bacterial SSU rRNA
Rfam family: Bacterial small subunit ribosomal RNA
Source: RNAcentral
GUCGAACGGCAGCACGGAGCUUGCUCUGGUGGCGAGUGGCGAACGGGUGAGUAAUAUAUCGGAACGUACCCUAGAGUGGGGGAUAACGUAGCGAAAGUUACGCUAAUACCGCAUACGAUCUAAGGAUGAAAGUGGGGGAUCGCAAGACCUCAUGCUCGUGGAGCGGCCGAUAUCUGGUUAGCUAGUUGGUAGGGUAAAAGCCUACCAAGGCAUCGAUCAGUAGCUGGUCUGAGAGGACGACCAGCCACACUGGAACUGAGACACGGUCCAGACUCCUACGGGAGGCAGCAGUGGGGAAUUUUGGACAAUGGGCGAAAGCCUGAUCCAGCAAUGCCGCGUGAGUGAAGAAGGCCUUCGGGUUGUAAAGCUCUUUUGUCAGGGAAGAAACGGUGAAAGCUAAUAUCUUUUGCUAAUGACGGUACCUGAAGAAUAAGCACCGGCUAACUACGUGCCAGCAGCCGCGGUAAUACGUAGGGUGCAAGCGUUAAUCGGAAUUACUGGGCGUAAAGCGUGCGCAGGCGGUUUUGUAAGUCUGAUGUGAAAUCCCCGGGCUCAACCUGGGAAUUGCAUUGGAGACUGCAAGGCUAGAAUCUGGCAGAGGGGGGUAGAAUUCCACGUGUAGCAGUGAAAUGCGUAGAUAUGUGGAGGAACACCGAUGGCGAAGGCAGCCCCCUGGGUCAAGAUUGACGCUCAUGCACGAAAGCGUGGGGAGCAAACAGG